Molecule: ribosomal RNA, 575 nt
Filed under: uncultured bacterium
Lineage: Bacteria
Description: partial 16S ribosomal RNA
Rfam family: Bacterial small subunit ribosomal RNA
Source: RNAcentral
UGGGGAAUAUUGGACAAUGGGGGCAACCCUGAUCCAGCCAUGCCGCGUGUGUGAAGAAGGCCUUUUGGUUGUAAAGCACUUUAAGCAGGGAGGAGAGGCUAAUGGUUAAUACCCAUUAGAUUAGACGUUACCUGCAGAAUAAGCACCGGCUAACUCUGUGCCAGCAGCCGCGGUAAUACAGAGGGUGCGAGCGUUAAUCGGAAUUACUGGGCGUAAAGCGAGUGUAGGUGGCUCAUUAAGUCACAUGUGAAAUCCCCGGGCUUAACCUGGGAACUGCAUGUGAUACUGGUGGUGCUAGAAUAUGUGAGAGGGAAGUAGAAUUCCAGGUGUAGCGGUGAAAUGCGUAGAGAUCUGGAGGAAUACCGAUGGCGAAGGCAGCUUCCUGGCAUAAUAUUGACACUGAGAUUCGAAAGCGUGGGUAGCAAACAGGAUUAGAUACCCUGGUAGUCCACGCCGUAAACGAUGUCUACUAGCCGUUGGGGUCCUUGAGACUUUAGUGGCGCAGUUAACGCGAUAAGUAGACCGCCUGGGGAGUACGGCCGCAAGGUUAAAAACUUAAAGGAAUUGACGGGGUC